AGAGUUUGAUUCUGGCUCAGGACGAACGCUGGCGGCGUGCCUAACACAUGCAAGUCGAACGGAGUUAAUGAUUUCGGUUGUUAACUUAGUGGCGAACGGGUGAGUAACGCGUGAACAACCUGACCCAAAGAGGGGGAUAACAUUUGGAAACAGAUGCUAAUACCGCAUAAGACCACAACGUCACAUGGCGAAGGGGUCAAAGGAGCAAUCCGCUUUGGGAGGGGUUCGCGUCCCAUUAGGUAGAUGGCGGGGUAACGGCCCACCAUGCCAACGAUGGGUAGCCGAGCUGAGAGGCUGAUCGGCCACACUGGAACUGAGACACGGUCCAGACUCCUACGGGAGGCAGCAGUGGGGAAUAUUGGGCAAUGGGCGCAAAGCCUGACCCAGCAACGCCGCGUGAGGGAAGAAGGUUUUCGGAUUGUAAACCUCUGUCGCAGAAGACGAAGGAAGUGACGGUAUUCUGUGAGGAAGCCCCGGCUAACUACGUGCCAGCCGCCGC
Molecule: ribosomal RNA, 499 nt
Filed under: uncultured bacterium
Lineage: Bacteria
Description: bacterial SSU rRNA
Rfam family: Bacterial small subunit ribosomal RNA
Source: RNAcentral